UACGUAGGGUGCGAGCGUUGUCCGGAAUUAUUGGGCGUAAAGGGCUCGUAGGCGGUCUGUCGCGUCGGGAGUGAAAACUCAGGGCUUAACCCUGAGCCUGCUUCCGAUACGGGCAGACUAGAGGUAUGCAGGGGAGAACGGAAUUCCUGGUGUAGCGGUGGAAUGCGCAGAUAUCAGGAGGAACACCGGUGGCGAAGGCGGCGACCUGGUUCAUUACUGACGCUGAGGCGCGAAAGCGUGGGGAGCAAACAGG
Molecule: ribosomal RNA, 253 nt
Filed under: uncultured bacterium
Lineage: Bacteria
Description: partial 16S ribosomal RNA
Rfam family: Bacterial small subunit ribosomal RNA
Source: RNAcentral